RNAcentral lists this ribosomal RNA (282 nucleotides) under uncultured bacterium. RNAcentral describes it as "partial 16S ribosomal RNA". It matches the Rfam family "Bacterial small subunit ribosomal RNA", at positions 773 to 1060 of the family's 1533-position model. The record is from RNAcentral.
GUGGAUUAGAUACCCUGGUAGUCCACGCUGUAAACGAUGAUGACUAACCGUCGGCGAUACACUGUCGGUGGCCAAGCGAAAGCGAUAAGUCAUCCACCUGGGGAGUACGACCGCAAGGUUGAAACUCAAAGGAAUUGACGGGGGCCCGCACAAGCGGAGGAACAUGUGGUUUAAUUCGAUGAUACGCGAGGAACCUUACCCGGGCUCGAACGGCAGGGGAAUGAAUCAGAGAUGGUUCAGUCUUCGGACUCCUGUCGAGGUGCUGCACGGUUGUCGACAGCU